RNAcentral lists this long non-coding RNA (691 nucleotides) under Homo sapiens (human). RNAcentral describes it as "non-protein coding lnc-PCYOX1-4:1". The record is from RNAcentral. Lineage: Eukaryota; Metazoa; Chordata; Mammalia; Primates; Hominidae.
UAUAGAAAACAUAAAGGAACUUUAAUAUCCAAACAUUCAGGGUAAAGAAUACUGGAUUAAUCACCCAUUAAGUGUAAAUCACUUCAGGUUCUUUACAGUACCAGAAAGUAAAAUCUAAAUUUUGCAUAUUGCAGAGAAUGAAACCAUUUUAAAAACUUUAAUUUCCUUACCUGAUACUAAUACCAGUAUGAUUUUUAGACGGAAAAACUAAGAGUAAGAUUUAAACCAAAGAUAGAGGUGUUCCUGAAAUGUGAAUUUGUUCAGUAGUAACCUUUUCAUCAUGAGUACUGAUACCACUUUCUUCUCAGAAAGUAGUCAAUGUACAUUUUAAGAUUUGUGCAAUAAGCCAAUAUGCUGGAUAAUAAAAACUGUUAUUACUGGAGAUAGUCAAAAUGAAAGAAAACUAUUUAAAUUAUUUAUGCCCAAAUAAUUUACCCUGCAGUCCAUGAGAUGCACAGGAAAUAAUUUUUUUUAAUAAGAGAACAAUGAGGGUCCUAAAGUAGAAACAUAAGCCAGAAGAAAUCUAAAAAUAGCUUCCUGAUAUUUUAUUUUAAAAUAUUUCAUUUAAGCUGCUUUUGGUUGCAUGCCCUGAUCUGUAGAAGUUAACAAGGAAAUAAAAUUUCCAAGUAUUUAAAAAAUUUACUCAUCUUCCAUAAAGCGACUUUUAAUGUAUCAACACUUAAAAAUACAC